Non-coding RNA from Caenorhabditis elegans, 21 nucleotides. The record is from Ensembl. Lineage: Eukaryota; Metazoa; Nematoda; Chromadorea; Rhabditida; Rhabditidae.
UGUUGUUGUUGGUGUAGUGGU